CGGCGUAAAGAACUUGCCUCACAGAUAGGGACGAAAUUUGGAAACGAAUGCUAAUACCUGAUAUUAUGAUUUUAGGGCAUCCGUAGAAUUAUGAAAGCUAUAUGCGCUGUGAGAGAGCUUUGCGUCCCAUUAGCUAGUUGGAGAGGUAACGGCUCACCAAGGCGAUGAUGGGUAGCCGGCCUGAGAGGGUGAUCGGCCACAAGGGACUGAGACACGGCCCUU
This 222-nucleotide ribosomal RNA is filed under the name uncultured bacterium. RNAcentral describes it as "partial 16S ribosomal RNA". It matches the Rfam family "Bacterial small subunit ribosomal RNA", at positions 113 to 334 of the family's 1533-position model. The record is from RNAcentral.